GGGGCGACGGAGGCCGAGUGCGAGCGGGAGCGCGGGCUGGCGGACGGAGCGGCGGCGCCUGCGCGGUGCGGCCCCCACCGGGCGCGGAGCCAGCCGGGACGGACAUGCGCGGGAGGGCGCCGGGGGGCAGCCGCGGCUCCGCGGGGGACCAGAUGCUGCUCGCCGCCUGACGCCCACGGUGCAGGAUGUCCACCGCGGGAGUCGCUGCCCAGGAGAUCCGCGUGCCGCUGAAGGCAUUUCUGCACGAUGGCCAGGCCCUGGGGAGCCUGAACGCAUGCUGGGGCCGCCGCCGGGAGCUGGGGAAUAACUUCCUGAACAUCCACCCUAUCGCCAUGGCCUACAGCCUGAAGGCGACCACUCAGGCCCACCUGAUGUCUCUAGGGCGCGCCUCGGCACCUGCCCCGACCAGCGGCCACCGCCUCGCUGAGCACGGCCCCUCUCAGAAGCCCAGCCUGCCCCCGCUCGUCCUGCCCCCGAGCGACAGCGCGGGGCCCCUCGACGAGGACCCGGUGGUGUGUGGCUUUAAGAAACUGUCGGUCAACGGGGUGAGUGCCCCCACGCCCCCGCUCACGCCCAUGAGGAGCGGCCCGUCCCCCGUGCCCUGCGUGGCGGGCUCCCGGCCGCUGCCCCCGCUGCCCAUCUCCGAGGGCCUCUCGCUGGACGACACGGACUGCGAGGUGCAGUUCCUCACCUGCUCCGACACCGCCUUGCUCCUGGGAGACGGCGCGGCCCCCGAGUUCAAGCACGGCGCGCCGGGCCGGCGCAGCUUCCGCGGCUGCGGGCAGAUCAACUACGCCUACUUCGAGACCCCGACGGUGUCCGUGGUGGACCUCAGCCAGGCCGCCGAGCAGACGGCGGGGGCGCAGCCCUCGGACCCGCCCGCGCCGCAGAGCCACCGGCGGCUCCGGCGGUCGCACUCGGGCCCCGCCGGCUCCUUCCACAAGCCGGCCGCCAGGGUGCACGGCCCCGUCCCCCGAGCCUCCCCCCACCCCGACACAGACAAGCCCGAGGUGCCCCCGCGGGUCCCCAUCCCCCCGCGGCCCGUCAAGCCCGAUUACAGACGGUGGUCGGCGGAGGUCACGUCCAGCACCUACAGCGACGAGGACAGGCCCCCCAAAGUGCCGCCCCGGGAGCCCCUGUCACGGAGCAACUCCCGCACCCCGAGCCCCAAAAGCCUUCCGUCUUACCUCAACGGCGUCAUGCCCCCCACACAGAGCUUCGCCCCGGACCCCAAGUACGUCAGCAGCAAAGCGCUGCAGAGACAGCUCAGCGAGGGCUCCGCCAGCCGGGCGCCCUGCAUCCUGCCCAUCAUCGAGAACGGGAAGAAGGUCAGCUCCACGCACUACUACCUGCUGCCCGAGCGGCCGGCCUACCUGGACAGAUACGAGAGGUUCUUCACGGAGGCCGAGGAGGCGAGCGCCAGCUCCCCGGCACAGCCCUUCCCCGCCGACGGCGGCCUCGCCACGGCCCCCGGGGCCAGGGCGGACGGGGGCGGCCAUGCGAAGCGGAAACACUUGUCCUACGUGGUUUCUCCGUAGCCCCGGUCCCCGUGCAGCAGAGGGUGGAGUUUUCCAGUCUGAGGUCCAGGGAGGAAGUUCCAGGUGCAGAAUAAACUUGAACUCUGUGCAGAGGUGCUGUCAUGCUGAGGACCCCGUGUCCAAGCCCACUGAGGUGUGAAGGGCAGACGGGGGGACACUCACGCCCACAGCAUAUGCCGUAGGAAACGCGCAGCCUAGCCAUAGCCGGUUAACCAGUUAGUCACGUCUCAGCGAUGUGUCUGCAGAAGAAAACGCAGCCGGACCAGGGCUCCUGAGAGACCGCACACAGCGAAGGAAGCACGCACAACGUUUGGAGAUUUCUGGCUCUUUGGUCUUCAUGUUUGUUGGAUGUAUUUUGCAGCCUUUUCCGUGGGGAGCGGGUGUGUCCUUACCGUGGCUGUACCUUCCCAGUUAAAACUGCCCAGACCCGAGACGUGCAGACUUCACUUCCUGUCGCUGCGGGGGACGGGCAGCUUACCUGGCAACCAUGCUUCCACCCGGACGUGUCCCGCUCCUCUUCCUUCAGCCCAGUGGCCACCGUCACGCUGCCUCAGAAACGGGGGACGUGGUGGGCUCCACGCUACGGGUGUGCCUCUAAGCAAUGAUGAAACAGCCACAUGACUGAGAGUGACUGGGAAUGUGUGUGUUGGGGUUUCAGACUAUUAAUAAACAUACAACACAAGCUGGCCUUGUGUUGCUGGUUCCUACUCAGUAUUUCCCGGGAAUUGUCGGCUUUUGAAGUAAAGCCUCUGACCAAGAGCGACUGUGUCUUAAUUCGAGCGUCCCGUCAGCACCACCUGCUUCCGGGCCCACGGCCGCGCUCACACUGCCUGCACAGCCCCGCUGUCCCCGCACAGUCCGGCCGGCGGCCGAGGCGCUCCCCGCAGAGGUGCGUGGCCGCGACGCUCGCGCCAGUUCAACAGCUGUUUACAGUUCCACUGCUGCGUACUGUCUGCGCUCCGUGAAGCGAUGUUAGUCUGAACUAAAUGAAGGUUAAACCAUGCUUUAGGAAAAUGCACUGAUGUCUGCAUUACGUGUACAGUAUUGGACAAAGAAUUUAUCCAUUUUUGUUGCAUUAUUUUGAAUAUUGUCUUCAUUUUAAUAAAGUUACAGUACUUAUUUAUGA
Pipistrellus kuhlii (Kuhl's pipistrelle) is the source of this 2664-nucleotide RNA transcript. It is a transcript of the gene named ERBB receptor feedback inhibitor 1, with no coding region annotated. The record is from RefSeq and is a predicted model, not a curated record. The transcript is spliced from 5 exons. NCBI's taxonomy places the organism in Eukaryota, Metazoa, Chordata, Mammalia, Chiroptera, Vespertilionidae.